AGGGGUGCAGCUCAGUGGUAGAGCUCUUGCCUAGCUAGGGCAAGGACCUGGGUUCCAUCCCCAGCACCAUAA
This 72-nucleotide transfer RNA is filed under the name Marmota monax (woodchuck). It matches the Rfam family "tRNA". From Rfam's summary of the family: Transfer RNA (tRNA) molecules are approximately 80 nucleotides in length. Their secondary structure includes four short double-helical elements and three loops (D, anti-codon, and T loops). Further hydrogen bonds mediate the characteristic L-shaped molecular structure. tRNAs have two regions of fundamental functional importance: the anti-codon, which is responsible for specific mRNA codon recognition, and the 3' end, to which the tRNAs corresponding amino acid is attached (by aminoacyl-tRNA synthetases). tRNAs cope with the degeneracy of the genetic code in two manners: having more than one tRNA (with a specific anti-codon) for a particular amino acid; and 'wobble' base-pairing, i.e. permitting non-standard base-pairing at the 3rd anti-codon position. The record is from Rfam by way of RNAcentral. Lineage: Eukaryota; Metazoa; Chordata; Mammalia; Rodentia; Sciuridae.